GGCACAAGGGACUUCCGGCUCUUGACUCCGCCCAGCCGCGCCACCCAGGAACUUUAUAUGUUAUAGAAGUUAGCCCCAAGAAUGAAAUCGUGUCCUUUGCCAAAACAUGGAUGGAGCUAGAGGCCUUUAUCCUAAGAGAUAGGAUGGAGUGUCACCAAGAUAGAAGACAAAAACAUAAGCUGUGAAAUGUGAUUAUAAAGUAGUGACAUGAGUGCCAGAAACCACGGAGGAAACGUCUCCUUGUUCUGGAUCCACACUUCAUACGUGGUCAUUGAAACGUGGCAUCAAACGGGAGGAAUGUGAUGGGCCAGGUUAGGGGAAGAGCACCAAGCAGGGCCUUUCCCUGGGAGAUGGCACCACGUGACAUGCUUCAUACGGAAGCACAUGGGCCCUCAGCGCUGGUAUCUUGCUUCACCUGGGGAUGGUGAUGAAAUGAUGCAGAGCUGACUCAAUACGAUACAGAGCUGACUCAAUACGAUGUGUGGGAUCUUCCAUCGUGAAGCAGCUGGGAGCACCAGGAGGCAGGUUUUCCCGUGCUUAUGGAAAGCACCACAUUGUUCUGCUGGGGACAUGUUCUUUUACUCCAAGGAGUAGUGGAUGUGCAAUGGGCUGUCCUGCCCGUAGAGAUGUGUGGGGCUGGCUGCUGAGAACAGAUGGCAACUGGCUGGCUCUGAUGCCUCAGAAGAGGUGAAUGCAUUCGGAGAGGCCACAGCUGAGAGUCCCUCAAACUGGGGAGUUAUUAUUCUAAAAGUUGGAUUUUUAGCAAGAUUUUACCAGGUGAGGCUGAUUAAAUGAUGGUGGCAGGGGCGGGGAGAAAAACAAAUAAAAGUGAGUUGAAGUCAA
This is a long non-coding RNA of Homo sapiens (human), 843 nucleotides long. Ensembl annotates it as TAGAP antisense RNA 1. Its record names the gene TAGAP-AS1. The record is from Ensembl. NCBI's taxonomy places the organism in Eukaryota, Metazoa, Chordata, Mammalia, Primates, Hominidae.